Molecule: ribosomal RNA, 458 nt
Filed under: uncultured bacterium
Lineage: Bacteria
Description: partial 16S ribosomal RNA
Rfam family: Bacterial small subunit ribosomal RNA
Source: RNAcentral
CCUACGGGGGGCAGCAGUGAGGAAUAUUGGUCAAUGGGCGAGAGCCUGAACCAGCCAAGUCGCGUGAGGGAGUACUGCCCUAUGGGUUGUAAACCUCUUUUGUCGGGGAGCAAAAGCCGGACGUGUCCGGCUGUGAGAGUACCCGAAGAAAAAGCAUCGGCUAACUCCGUGCCAGCAGCCGCGGUUAUACGGGGGAUGCGGGCGUUAUACGGAUUUAUUGGGGUUAAAGGGUGCGCAGGCUGAUUUUUAAGUCAGCGGUCAAAUCGUGGGGCUCAACCCCAUCCUGCCGUUGAAACUGGGGAUCUAGAGUGUGCGAGAGGUAUGUGGAAUGCGUGGUGUAGCGGUGAAAUGCAUAGAUAUCACGCAGAACCCCGAUUGCGAAGGCAGCAUACCGGUGCACAACUGACGCUCAGGCACGAAAGCGUGGGUAUCGAACAGGAUUAGAUACCCUAGUAGUC